Long non-coding RNA from Papaver somniferum (opium poppy), 1699 nucleotides. RefSeq lists it as uncharacterized. The transcript has 3 exons. The record is from RefSeq and is a predicted model, not a curated record. NCBI's taxonomy places the organism in Eukaryota, Viridiplantae, Streptophyta, Magnoliopsida, Ranunculales, Papaveraceae.
CUCAUUCUCCCCCUCUCACUAUCUUCUAGCUAUCUUUUCUAUCUUGCACUCUGCAGUUCGUGAUUUUACCAGCAACAGAAUCACUCAAAACGACCCCAAUCCAACACCAGCAGAAUCACUCAAAACGCCAGCAACAAGAACACAAUUUUGGUAUCUUUCACUCAUCUUCAACAGUCAACAGUAGUAGCUCAUCAAAACCAUAUCUGAAAUUCACAAUUUUGGUAUCUUUCUUCUCGGUAACAAUCAACAGCAGCAACUUCUCCAUCUUUACCUAUUAGCUCACCAUCUCAAACCAUAGAGAAAUUCAGCCCUAACCGAGGUUUCCUAAGCUUCAAUUGCUUCAAAUCUUCAUCAUAGAACUCAAUUUCUUUCAUGUCUAUAAUUCGAACUCAAACACAAAACCCUAGACUGUUGACAAUUCAAAUACCACAAUCUUCGAUUCAACCGUGUUCUCGAUUCAUCAACAUCUUCUUCUCAAUCUAGAACCUCAUCCCAAUUUCCAUAACAGGAUAUUGAUGGUUAUCUUGUCUCUUCCCUGAUCCAGCUCUUCUCUGUAGCCAAAAUUCUUUAUCAAACUCGAACCUGUACAUUGUACUUGUCUUAAUUUCCGAGAUCUCUCGUGAGUGGUGGCUUUCUCUAUCUGAAAUCUUGGUUAGCCGGAGAAGAUGGGUUUAAUUUGGGGAUUCUAAACACAGGUUCGAAUUGGGUUCUAAUCGAAUUUGUGUAUGAGUUCGUUAUUCAUGUUGAGUGUUGGUCUUAUUUGGGGCUUUGUCGGAAUUCAUCUGAAGGUGUUAUAAUACAUCGUCGAUGGAGUGAUGGAGGAGUGGAACUGUGAAGAAAGAUGAUGUUGUAUUCAAAGUUUGAGGGUUCUGAUGUCCCAAGGAAUUGCAGGCAGUGGUGAUUGUUCGUUUAUAACAAUAGAAUCCUGGGAUUCUCGGUAUGGAUAAUCAGGGUGAGCUGAAGAUCUGUGAUUUAGGAAUGUCUCGCCUUUACUCUACGGUACAGAGCACCUGAGCUUUUAUUAGGGACAAAACAAUACUCAACAACAAUUGAUAUGUGGUCGUAGGGUUGUGUAAUGACUGAGCUGUUAUCCAAGGAACCCCUAUUUAAUGGAAAAACUGAAGUUGAUCAGCUUGACAAGAUUUUCAAAACCCACGGUAUGGAUUGAUAUGGAGGUUUUGUGUGAAUUGAGGUGAAUUUGCAUGGUUGAAAUCUCAACAGUUCAUUCAUGUUUUCUUACAACAGCAGCCUACGGAGUUUGGGGUUUAUCUGGUCUGAAUUGGGUUGAGUCUGAAUACGAAUCGCAGGUGGUUUGAGCAGUUGAUGGCCUUGAAGAGUUGGUUUGAAGGUAGAUAGGUUCUGGCGGCGCUGAAGAAUGAAUUUGGCGAAGGAUGAUGCUGUUGUUUGGUUGCAAUGAAACUGCAGGUGUGUUGCAGUGAGCUUAAUGGAGAUUGCAAGAUGUCUGGUGUUGCUACUGAGAGCUUGUGAUGGUUGCAAGCUAGGCUUGUAAGCUGAGCUUAAGCUGGUGAUUGAGUUGACAUGAAAUUGGAACUGUACGAAUGAAUGGAUUGCAGUGGAGAUGCACAGAUGAAGUUGAAAAUGCAGGAGUCUAACAACCACACCCAAUAUUUCGAUUAGCAAUCUGUAUGGACUAACUCCAAUAUACUUUCAAGAGAAUCAACUAGACAGUUAGACUCAA